UCUCUGUUAGUAUAUCGGUUAGUACACGCGCCUGUCAUUUGUAACGACCGCGCGAAAGCGGGGUUCGACUCCCCGACAGAGAG
This 83-nucleotide transfer RNA is filed under the name Trametes sanguinea. RNAcentral's name for it is "tRNA-Asp". The record is from RNAcentral. Lineage: Eukaryota; Fungi; Basidiomycota; Agaricomycetes; Polyporales; Polyporaceae.